This 152-nucleotide ribosomal RNA is filed under the name uncultured Bacteroidota bacterium. Its description in RNAcentral is "uncultured Bacteroidetes bacterium partial 16S ribosomal RNA". Lineage: Bacteria; Pseudomonadati; Bacteroidota. The record is from RNAcentral.
UUACGGUACCGUCAAGCUCCUUCACGAAGGAGUGUUUCUUCCCGUACAAAAGCAGUUUACACACCAUAGAUGCGUCUUCCUGCACGCGGCAUGGCUGGAUCAGGCUUGCGCCCAUUGUCCAAUAUUCCUCACUGCUGCCUCCCGUAGGAGUA